UCAAUUUGUUGUGGACAAAUAAAGUGAACAUGAGUAUCUAUUCCACCAGCAGUAACAAUUUUACCUUCACCAGAAAAGACCUCAGUACCAACUCCAACAACCAUAUUUGGAUCUACGCCAUCCAUGAUAUCAGGAUUACCUGACUUACCAAUUCCAACUAUUUUACCAUCUUUUAUGCCAAUGUCAGCUUUUACUAUUCCCCAGUAAUCUAAAAUUAAUGCAUUAGUUAUAACCAUAUCUAAAGCACCAUCAGCUCCGGUUAUACUUGAGUUUUGCCCCAUACCAUCAC
RNAcentral lists this small RNA (289 nucleotides) under uncultured Clostridium sp. RNAcentral's name for it is "5' ureB small RNA". It matches the Rfam family "5' ureB small RNA". The record is from RNAcentral. Lineage: Bacteria; Bacillati; Bacillota; Clostridia; Eubacteriales; Clostridiaceae.